UACGUAGGGGGCGAGCGUUGUCCGGAAUCAUUGGGCGUAAAGCGCGUGUAGGCGGCUCGGUAAGUCUGCUGUGAAAGUCCAGGGCUCAACCCUGGGAUGCCGAUCGAUACUGCCGGGACUAGAGUCCGGAAGAGGCGAGUGGAAUUCCCGGGUGUAGCGGUGAAAUGCGCAGAUAUCGGGAGGAACACCAAUGGCGAAGGCAGCUCGCUGGGACGGUACUGACGCUGAGACGCGAAAGCGUGGGGAGCAAACAGG
RNAcentral lists this ribosomal RNA (255 nucleotides) under uncultured bacterium. RNAcentral describes it as "partial 16S ribosomal RNA". It matches the Rfam family "Bacterial small subunit ribosomal RNA", at positions 524 to 776 of the family's 1533-position model. The record is from RNAcentral.